This 494-nucleotide ribosomal RNA is filed under the name uncultured bacterium. RNAcentral describes it as "partial 16S ribosomal RNA". It matches the Rfam family "Bacterial small subunit ribosomal RNA", at positions 899 to 1397 of the family's 1533-position model. The record is from RNAcentral.
ACUCAAAUGAAUUGACGGGGGCCCGCACAAGCAGCGGAGCAUGUGGUUUAAUUCGAAGCAACGCGAAGAACCUUACCUAGACUUGACAUCUCCUGAAUUACCUGUAAUAAGGGAAGCCCUUCGGGGCAGGAAGACAGGUGGUGCAUGGUUGUCGUCAGCUCGUGUCGUGAGAUGUUGGGUUAAGUCCCGCAACGAGCGCAACCCUUAUCAUUAGUUGCUACCAUUAAGUUGAGCACUCUAGUGAGACUGCCCGGGUUAACCGGGAGGAAGGUGGGGAUGACGUCAAAUCAUCAUGCCCCUUAUGUCUAGGGCUACACACGUGCUACAAUGGUGAGUACAACAAGAUGCAAGACCGUGAGGUGGAGCCAAACUGUAAAACUCAUCCCAGUUCGGAUUGAAGGCUGAAACUCGCCUUCAUGAAGCCGGAGUUGCUAGUAAUCGCGAAUCAGCAUGUCGCGGUGAAUACGUUCCCGGGCCUUGUACACACCGCCCGU